GCGGGGCUCGCCGAGUUCCCGGUUCUGGGCGGGUGGGCCCGCCGGCUCCGGCCUGGUUUCCCCUACCUGUGGCGGGGAGUGAGGAAAGCCGGCCCUCGGAAAAAUGAUUAGGACUGUAAAGCCUUCUAGCUCCCUCUUGCCAAAAAGAGGCUGGUCACAGAGGCGGGAGACAGUCUGUUAAGCGGGGAGCUGACCAUCUGAGGACAGACACUGAGGAAGGAGGAUGGAAUGAUUUUGGCAGUGAAUGACAAUUCCUUCAACAAGACCCCCCUCCCACACUCACUUCAAAGGAACAGUGGACAGGAUGUGCUUUCCAAAAUACUGCAGUUUAAUUCUGAAAAACUCAAAUGCAAGAGGCCCAGAGCUGUCUACGGGAUUGGAUCUCCUGCAACCUGCCUUGGGCCCCAGAAGAGACUGGCAAUGUCAGCCUCCUCCCUGCUCUGCCUGAGAGAGGCCACGGAGAACUUCCUUAUCGGGCCCAAACUGGAGCCGCUGACUGCUCAGAGCAAGAUUUCUGCCUUGAAAGCAAAUGCAGUAGCCUCAGAAAUGUGCAGCGCAUGCUUCUUCCUCCCCCUCUCCCCCUCCAGUCCGGCAGAGCUGCAGUAAAGAUGCCUGCAGGUCAUGACCUCAUGUUUCCUGUCCACUUCCCAUGGCAGGGAUCAGAGCUUUGGGAGAUAUGUGACCAAGGAGGACACAUGAACUUGCUACCCCUCUCUCUACCCCAGACAUACCCACAUGACCUUGUUUUACUCAUAUUGCAUUGGUUUAACUCGGAAAUGGGUGACCUCCCACCACCUAACCCGACUCAGUAGGAGGGGAGGUAAAGCAGUUUAGGCCCUGGUAUCUGUUUGAGAAGUUAAAGGAAAGGGCAUGGGUGGUCAGGGAAGAGGCAGAGCUUGGGGUCAAAGGGAUACAUGUCAGGGGAGGUUUGCUUAAUCUUGUCUCCCACCAGCUCCAGGAGCCAGGGAUUUCUCUCUUUUUUUUUCACAACACAUUCCAAACCUAGGAAAGGGAUUUCUCCUUAUCUGGCUCUUAACCCAGGAGGGCUAAACACUUCAGCUGCUUGAAGAAAUCGCCUGUGGAGCUGCAUGCCUGCCAAAGGAUUGGGAUAAGACACAUCUAGCCUGGGCAUGGUGCCUUCUGC
This 1144-nucleotide long non-coding RNA is filed under the name Pan troglodytes (chimpanzee). Its description in RNAcentral is "long non-coding RNA NONPTRT007333". The record is from RNAcentral. Lineage: Eukaryota; Metazoa; Chordata; Mammalia; Primates; Hominidae.